AUUUUAUUGAAUAAAUUUUAACAAUUAUUCUUAAAUUUAUAAAUUUAGCAUUGUAACGGUAUAUCUAUAUAAUUUCUGAUGCUAUCGUUAAAAUUUAUCCCAAAUCUUGGAGUCGAUCUCUUGUUGGUGGCGCCUUCAAGCUUUUUUAGGUGAAGUCGUCUAGAUUUCAGUUACCAAUAAAGAAAUAAUAAACAAAAGAUUUCCCUAUUCUUUAGCUUCAGUCGUUAAACCAUCACCGGUUAACGGUAAUAUCACGCAUCGAUACUAAACCAAGUAAUACAGAACGACACCGCAGAGCAAACCAUCACGCAUAGAGGCGAGAAAAUAAACACUGCUCACCUCCAAUGAUUCGGCAAUGGAAUCGCAUACCCAUCAGAAUUCAGAACCAGAAUACAUCCCCAGCAUACUCUACCAGAAAAUGAAUUGAACAAUAACGAUUUAAAAUUUAAUAAAAAAUCAUAAAUCCAAAAUAAAAUCCCUAACAACAAAUACCCAUAAAAAAUCAAAGAAAAAAAAUCCAAAACGAAGA
This 529-nucleotide unclassified non-coding RNA is filed under the name Hevea brasiliensis (rubber tree). Lineage: Eukaryota; Viridiplantae; Streptophyta; Magnoliopsida; Malpighiales; Euphorbiaceae. The record is from RNAcentral.